GCCGGUGUAGCUCAGUUGGUAGAGCAGCGCAUUCGUAAUGCGAAGGUCGGGGGUUCGACUCCUCUCUCCGGCACCA
RNAcentral lists this transfer RNA (76 nucleotides) under Pseudomonas aeruginosa. Its description in RNAcentral is "tRNA-Thr". It matches the Rfam family "tRNA". Rfam says of the family: Transfer RNA (tRNA) molecules are approximately 80 nucleotides in length. Their secondary structure includes four short double-helical elements and three loops (D, anti-codon, and T loops). Lineage: Bacteria; Pseudomonadati; Pseudomonadota; Gammaproteobacteria; Pseudomonadales; Pseudomonadaceae. The record is from RNAcentral. RNAcentral also lists the same sequence under 8 other names.